This is a non-coding RNA of Pelobates cultripes (western spadefoot toad), 206 nucleotides long. The record is from the annotation of a GenBank genome assembly. NCBI's taxonomy places the organism in Eukaryota, Metazoa, Chordata, Amphibia, Anura, Pelobatidae.
CCCAAAGGCUGCUCACGGUUUACUAGACACGCCCCUACUCGCGUUAUAGUGAGAAGGGGCAGAAUUUACUAAUACUAAGUAAUCUUUACUUAGUAUUAGUAAAUUUGGCUGAAAGACCAAUUUAGGUCUUUCAGCCUUUUAGUAGAUAGCUCUCUAAUACCGUGGGAAUUAGGGAGUUAUCUACUAAGCGGCUGCUUAUUUUAUGU